RNAcentral lists this ribosomal RNA (958 nucleotides) under uncultured beta proteobacterium. RNAcentral's name for it is "bacterial SSU rRNA". It matches the Rfam family "Bacterial small subunit ribosomal RNA", at positions 8 to 967 of the family's 1533-position model. The record is from RNAcentral. Lineage: Bacteria; Pseudomonadati; Pseudomonadota; Betaproteobacteria.
AGAGUUUGAUCCUGGCUCAGGAUGAACGCUCGUGACUUAACAUGCAAGUCGAACGGCAGCGGACCUUCGGGUGCCGGCGAGUGGCGAACGGGUGAGUAAAGUAUCGGAACGUACCUUUCAGUGGGGGAUAACGUAGCGAAAGUUACGCUAAUACCGCAUAUUCUGUGAGCAGGAAAGCAGGGGAUCGCAAGACCUUGCGCUGAUUGAGCGGCCGAUAUCAGAUUAGCUAGUUGGUGAGGUAAAGGCUCACCAAGGCGACGAUCUGUAGCGGGUCUGAGAGGAUGAUCCGCCACACUGGAACUGAGACACGGUCCAGACUCCUACGGGAGGCAGCAGUGGGGAAUUUUGGACAAUGGGGGCAACCCUGAUCCAGCCAUGCCGCGUGAGUGAAGAAGGCCUUCGGGUUGUAAAGCUCUUUCGGCCGGGAAGAAAUCGCGCCAGUUAAUACCUGGUGUGGAUGACGGUACCGGAAUAAGAAGCACCGGCUAACUACGUGCCAGCAGCCGCGGUAAUACGUAGGGUGCGAGCGUUAAUCGGAAUUACUGGGCGUAAAGCGUGCGCAGGCGGUUUUGUAAGACAGGCGUGAAAUCCCCGGGCUCAACCUGGGAACUGCGCUUGUGACUGCAUCACUCGAGUACGGCAGAGGGGGGUGGAAUUCCACGUGUAGCAGUGAAAUGCGUAGAGAUGUGGAGGAACACCGAUGGCGAAGGCAGCCCCCUGGGCCGAUACUGACGCUCAUGCACGAAAGCGUGGGUAGCAAACAGGAUUAGAUACCCUGGUAGUCCACGCCCUAAACGAUGUCAACUAGGUGUUGGGUGGGUAAAACCAUUUAGUACCGUAGCUAACGCGUGAAGUUGACCGCCUGGGGAGUACGGGCCGCAAGGUUAAAACUCAAAGGAAUUGACGGGGACCCGCACAAGCGGUGGAUGAUGUGGAUUAAUUCGAUGCAACGCGAAAA